CAGUCGCCGCGGGAAUACGAAGGUCCCGAGCGUUGUUCGGAAUCACUGGGCGUAAAGGGAGCGUAGGCGGCGUGGUAAGUCAGAUGUGAAAUCCCGGGGCUCAACCCCGGAACUGCACCCGAUACUGCCAUGCUAGAGGAUUGGAGAGGUAGCUGGAAUUCUUGGUGUAGCAGCGAAAUGUGUGGAGAUCAAGAGGAACACUCGUGGCGAAAGCGAGCUACUGGACAAUAACUGACGCUGAGGCUCGAAGGCCAGGGUAGCGAAAGGGAUUAGAGACCCCCGUAGUCCCUGUCUCUUAUAC
This 301-nucleotide ribosomal RNA is filed under the name uncultured bacterium. RNAcentral describes it as "partial 16S ribosomal RNA". It matches the Rfam family "Bacterial small subunit ribosomal RNA", at positions 509 to 807 of the family's 1533-position model. The record is from RNAcentral.